CCAACAAUUUUCCACCUACAAAGUGCAUCUAAGCUGGCAGCAAGCGCAGCCACUAAGUCAACUUGAGUCUUCAGAUCACAGCCCUUCUCAAAGCCAGAUGGACAGCUUUAGAACCGGAGUGAUUCAGCCAAUAUCUCAAGGCAUUUACGCGCUAUAUAGGAGAGCUCUCUAAGUUCUAAUCUGGGUUAAUAAACGGUCACACGAUGGAACAAAUGGAAUUUUGUCACUCUCCAAUUAUGAAUCAAAAUUCGCGUAGAGCUUCCUUACUGUUAAAGCUCACUACUAAGUCCCUCUCCACUUCGACCCUAAGUGGGAUGAACAGAUAUGCUGGCCCAGCACAAUCCUGGUUUUCCAACUAUACAUUGUGAUGUGCGGUCCUCUAAUGAAAAUCUGAAGCUUCCAAGGCCAAAGUGAAGAACAGAAGAUAGAUUCAGAGAAGUGCAUCAGUGUCCUUCUUUCAUUCCUUUGAUAUCUUCUAAAAUUAUUUUUGUUUGUUUGAAAUUAUAGUAUAAUUACAAAAAUUCUUUGCCCACCUUCCAAGGACAGCAAUAGUAGACAUGCUCAUAGCAUGAGGGGGAAGCCUGGGAAGCAUCAACCCUACACAAAGAACUACAGGCAACUAAGGAAUGCUGAGUGUCAGGAACAUUUUUAAUACUGUAUUGAAAAGAAUUAAUUUGCUAUAAUUGUUGUUCUUGAUAGAUCAAGAAUGAUAUGCAUUGUAUAAAGGAAUUCAAGAUAGAUUUGUGUCAUCUAACAGCUACACCUGAAUAAAUGUGAACUUGGGGUCAAAAGAAUGACAACCCAACCCAGCCUGUGGGUGAGCUUGUCUAGCUCUCUUCACUGGGAAUGCAGGAACUCGGAAACGUUCUUAAACUGAAACAAGAACGUACUCAAGAUCUACAACAGAAGGGUUUUCUCCGUUCCUGCUGGCAUCCAUUUAAGUAGCACUUCUUCUCUAGAUUGAAACUGUGUUUUAAAGAAAACUAAGCAUGUUUCAGAUUGUGAGAUGUGUUAUGGAGAAAGACACUUGCUGCCAAGCCUGAUGACCUGAGUUCAAUCCCUGGAUCCCACAUGGUAAAAGGAGAAAAUCUAUUCCUGCAAGCUGUUCUCUGCCCCCUGCAUGUACUGUGGCAACCCCUGACACACA
Molecule: non-coding RNA, 1147 nt
Organism: Peromyscus maniculatus bairdii (prairie deer mouse)
Lineage: Eukaryota; Metazoa; Chordata; Mammalia; Rodentia; Cricetidae
Source: RefSeq, a predicted model, not a curated record